AUUGAACGCUGGCGGCAGGCCUAACACAUGCAAGUCGAACGGUAGCACAGAGAGCUUGCUCUCGGGUGACGAGUGGCGGACGGGUGAGUAAUGUCUGGGAAACUGCCCGAUGGAGGGGGAUAACUACUGGAAACGGUAGCUAAUACCGCAUAACGUCGCAAGACCAAAGUGGGGGACCUUCGGGCCUCACACCAUCGGAUGUGCCCAGAUAGGAUUAGCUAGUAGGUGGGAUAAUGGCUCACCUAGGCGACGAUCCCUAGCUGGUCUGAGAGGAUGACCAGCCACACUGGAACUGAGACACGGUCCAGACUCCUACGGGAGGCAGCAGUGGGGAAUAUUGCACAAUGGGCGCAAGCCUGAUGCAGCCAUGCCGCGUGUAUGAAGAAGGCCUUCGGGUUGUAAAGUACUUUCAGCGGGGAGGAAGGCGGUGAAGUUAAUAGCUUCACCGAUUGACGUUACCCGCAGAAGAAGCACCGGCUAACUCCGUGCCAGCAGCCGCCGUAA
RNAcentral lists this ribosomal RNA (504 nucleotides) under uncultured bacterium. Its description in RNAcentral is "partial 16S ribosomal RNA". It matches the Rfam family "Bacterial small subunit ribosomal RNA", at positions 30 to 523 of the family's 1533-position model. The record is from RNAcentral.